Molecule: long non-coding RNA, 5804 nt
Organism: Manihot esculenta (cassava)
Lineage: Eukaryota; Viridiplantae; Streptophyta; Magnoliopsida; Malpighiales; Euphorbiaceae
Exons: 2
Source: RefSeq, a predicted model, not a curated record
UUUAGUACUAUUAAUCUGAGAUCAAAUUCGAGAAUACUGACCAUCCCUGCUCCUAAUCAGCUGAUCUUCUUCCCUGGCAUUAGCCCACAAAACUUUACUUUUCAACACUGCAUCACUGAAAAUGAAGCUUUUGUUUCUGAAUUACGGUGCAUUGUUUUCCAUUCGAGAGUCUCUUUAGUUCAGCGAGAAGGGCUUUUUCUUUAUCUUCUUCUGCUUCUGCCCAUAAAUGGGAAGGUGGGGUAUCGGCGGUGCAAAGAGCUUGAAGAGGAAUUGGCCCUGAAUUUGUGAGCUGAAUUUCAUCUUUUACUUCUAUCCGUUGUGUUUAUACCUCUUCCAUUUCACUUUCUUCAAUUUCUCUGGCUUUUUCUUAGAUUCUUGAAUGCAUUUACAAUCUUCCUUCCUCAGUAAUCAGUCGGUGGUUUUAUCGCAUUUGACCUAUUAUUUAGCCAAAAAUUCUAAAAUUUGAGGAUUUUCACAUUCGUAUAUAUAUAUUUGCUUUCCAUGUAAUUAUAUAGAGAAAAGUGUGUAGCUCAGGUGAUUCAUCCCUGGUAAUUGAAAUGAUUAUUACUGGAUAAGCAUGAUUAAUAUACUGAAUGGGACUCGUCAAUUGAUGGAAAGUCAUACUAUUAGAAUAUAAUGGAAUGAAGUUGAAAGGCAUGCCCACUUUGUCCUCAGUGAUUUUUCAAUUUGAUACGGUAAUAAUGGGCUGAUUUCUUUGAUAUUUAUAGGAGAAGCUUGUAUACAUAUGAUUUUAUAAAUAAGCAAAUACUACAUCUACGUAUCCACAAACAACGAAUUUUUUGUAUUUGCACUGUAAUUUAAAUCAAUUUACUUUGAUUUUAAUAAUAAUGUAUCAACAAAGUUAUAAAAGGAUUCUAUUGAAUGCUGAAAAUUUUCUUUACUUGAUUUCCCUUUCAAGCAUUGUUGAGUACAUUCUUUUACCCCUUCUAAUUGGAUGGGAAAUUCUCUUCUUGGUUUUUUUUCCCUCCCAUUAUCCUGUUAGGAGUUGCUAAAAUAGGUUUUCAUGUGUUCAUGUUUUAUGUCAAAAUCUGUUGAUAUGGAUUUCAUUUUUCCCAGUCCUGUUCAAACAGUUUUAUUUUACUCUUUAUAUUGUCCUUGACUUUCCUUUUCCUUUUCUUUUUUUUAGUCUCAAUGGCUUGUGUUGUCACAUAAUCGACUGUUCUUUUCCUUUUGUUUUUUCAGGUUACAUAUAAUGCUUUCUCUCUCUCUCUCUCUCUCUGGCAUAUCACAUGACAGACACAGGCUCACUUUUUUAUGUUGAUAGAUGUAUCCAUGUAAUAGUUUUUACUUAUCAGGUUUUAAUGAAUCCAUUAUUACAUUUUCUGAACUAAAAAUAAUAAAUCAUAUAUUGCAUUAAAAUAACUUUGAGUCUCCUGAACUCAAUAUUGGCAUUGUUAUUAUGUUCCAUCCUAUAGGUAAAGAUGACCACUCAAAACUGUGGUCAAUAAAGGAAAUGCCCCAUGUGGCAGCUCUCUCUCUCUCUCUCUCUCUGUUUUUUUUUUUGAGGUGGGAAGGGGAGUCAUUUAAGUUUUCUGCCUAGGUAAUUGAUUGCUUAUUUUAGGUCUUUAGAUGUCUUUAUACAUGUCAAUUCAUUUCCUAUAGCAGACACAAAACUAUCACUUAGAGUUGUCAUGGAGCAUAACUAUCAUGUUUCAACUGGUGGAAAGGAGCACAUAUCUUGAGUAAGUGAGUGUGACCAGUCCGGAAUAAGAGUUUGUUUAUGUUCUGUAUAAAGUUGUUUAGUCUGCAACUUAAUAUCAAGUUGGUUAGCCUAGAAAUACUAGCCAAUUAGGUAAUGUAUAUUCCAUCUAUUAGGGUCUUCAUUAUGUUUUGAGAGAGAGAUUGAAAGAAAAUUUUCAGUUUUAGUGCUUUUGUGUUGAUAUUUGUGUUUGGGUGCUUGUGUUUGUGGCAAGAGACAAAAUCACAUGGAUGUUUUUUUGUACUUCUUUUUGUCAUUGUUUAUUCAUAGAAGAGGCAAGCUGAAGUUUUAGAUACCGUAUAUGCAUGUCUUUAUGUGUGUGAUUUUCAUUUGUCAUUGUUAUGUUUACUAAAGUACAUUAUGACUUAUUUGGAUGAGAAUUGUAUUUUACUCUUCAUUUUUUUUAAAUUAUCUUUUUAUUUUUUAUAGUUAAAAAUGAUGAAUGGAGCCUAAGUUUGACUUGAUCUCCUAAUUGAGUUAAGCUCAAGUUGGCUCAUUUAGUCUCGUUGUUUGCUAAGUUAAUGGGGUUAAAGGAAAGCCGAUUACAAAUUCUUUAAAAAGCAAGUGAGAUUAGCUCAUGCUUUACUAUCUAAGCUUGAAUUGUUAAACUCAUGUGAGCUAAGCCUUGUCUGGCUUGACUUAGCUCAAUCCAUUUAUACAGCCUUGCAUAAAACCCAUCUUGAUUUUCAUUAAUCAUGCACUGAAACUUCAGGGCUACAUGAUGCAUGGAUGGUUAAAUAAAGUGCAACCAGUAUUGUCACUGUUACUGCUUCAUGAUUACUUCUGGCCAUGCCUGGAUUUGGGACUUCUAAAAUCCAUGGAUUUGAAAAUCUAAGGGUUUUAUAAGUUUUAAUGUAUCUCACACGUUUGGUAUGUUGGUCAAAUCAAUAAAAUGAACCACUACUGAAAGAAAAAAAAAAGAUUGUAGAAUCCCUCAAAUCCAUGGAUUCUAUGAAAUACCUCAUCUAAAAGCUCUCCAACAAAACUUAUCUUAGGUACUUUCCAAUGGAAUAUACCAAUUGUAGUGUACCUUAUAAUUUCAGACUGCUGCUUCAAUGUGUAUAUCAUGUUCACUGGUUAAGGUAAGGUGAUACAAAAGUUUAGAGAGAUGCAUAGCCUGUACUAAAUCAGUUUCAAAGCUAGCUUUCUAAACCAUGUUUACUUCCUUUCUCAUGUUAGAAAUUCACUAGUAUAGUUUAACAAUGUUUGUGGUAUAAAAUGUUGGUGAAAAUGCCUAAAUUAAUAACAUAAUUAUGUUAGCUUGAUAAAAAAUAUACAAAAACAUGAUAAGGCAUGGAUUACUCACUCUUUUAAGGGGAUUCAAAUCCUCUGAAUAGGCAAAGCCUCUUAAUCCAUGUAGCAGAACUUCUCUUUUGUUGACUUGUCUCCUCCAUGAUAUACUCGAUAGUUUCAUCCUGUGGCUCAAAUCAACUCUAACUAAUUUUUGAACCCAAAGCUCCACUGACAGAACACGAUUCUUUGUCUCUAAAUUUUUCAUACCUUCUCUAAAGAACUCUUAUGCUUACACUUAAUUAUAUACACCAAGAACACAAGCUAAGUAUAUAUAGGAGCUUAUACAUCAAUGUUACAAGACUUAAAUAUCUUAAAUUAACUUUCAAUGAAUGAAUAGAGUCAAUUCUAAUUAGUCAACUUUAAAAAACUAAAAUAAAUAUUAAAAGGUUACAAUAUCAUGCUGCUUGCAUUUGUAUUAGAAAUGAUAAUAGAUUCCAUUUAUUAUUACUCUUCUCAUUUUUGCCUAUGUGAGAGGAUUACUUUGUAAUUUGCAGUAAGCAUUAGUUUUUCUGAUUUUUUACAGCACCAAAAGGACUUGGGUUACACAAUUCUGUCUGUUGGAAUCUACCUAUUGUAUAAAAUUUCGUAGGCUUCCUGAUAGAGUAGGAACAAGAGGAUAUGUAAACAAACUGAAACAGAACUUGGAAUUGAAUACUAAUAGCAGAAUGACCAAUUACAUUCAGUAUUCUGCAUUACAAUCAAUAGCUCUCCGUAACUUUGCUCAUUCUCUCAGUAUCCAUCAACUAAGGAAUAGGAACAGAGUAAUAAGAGAAAUUAAGGAGGAAAAAUGGUUGCUAAUACCCACCAGGAAAUCAAUUCCUUUGCUAGCAAAGUUAGCCCCAGCUAAUGCUGCAUAAAUAAAGACGAAAUUACUGCAUCCUUUUCUUUCUUUCUGUUUGCAUAUUUAUAACUGAAGAAAGUUGACCUCCUCUGCUCUCAUUCCCAUGUGACUGCUUCUUUCAUUUCCCUCUAACAGCUCAACCAUUCACAGCUGUUGAAUUCUGGAACCUUCCCCUUCCUUUCGAUGAGCUGAUAAUCCUUCUUUUCCCUUCUUGAAACAUCUUCUGUAAUUAAUUUUUUGGGCCAUUGAUUUCACUUUCCAGCCUUUGGCUGAGUACCUAUUAAUUUCCCACUGGUAAGUAUCAUAUCCAUGCUCAAAUAUCCUUUUUUGGAACUGGUAUUUCAGGUCCUAAAGUACUGGUUCAGAAGAGUUGGAGUAACUAUGAUAUGAAAACCCUAUUAUUUUCUUUUUGUUGGAUUCAUUACCUUGUUUUUAGAUUUUAAUCUAAUGAUGCAAGGAAUGAGUUAACACAGGAAGAAAACUUUGAUUUGCUUACUGCCUGAUACAGGUUAAACGACUUCUGGAAAAGAAUGAGAAAGAACAUGUUAUUAUUGCAACUUGUUGAAAUCCUUAUGGAGCAACAAGACUUCUUAAUUGGAAAAAAGAAUUUUCCUGAAUUCCUCAACAUUUUACAGCUGGAGUUCACCAUUGAAAGUUCCAUGGAGGUUAAGGCUUGAUAUUUCUAUCUGUUCUUACCUAUUGCUUUAGAGAGACCAGAAGGAAUUUCACCUAUAUUUUUCAUUCUAGUCAUCAGUUUAGGUUAGUUGUGGUUUUCUGCAUUGUACCUAGAUGAAUUAACUCCAAAAACAUUUAGUUUUCUUUAUAAUAAAGCAAAGGAGAAACUUGGAUCUUAAUACCACCCUUAGGAUCUUUUUUUUUUUUUUUUUGUCGAAAGAUAAAACUCACGCAUAAACGCGGACUGCAACCACUGAAACCACCUUAGGAUCGAUCAGAAAGGUGGAGCAAGUUUUUUGUUUAUUUCCUUUUAACUUCUUCAUGGGUAUGAUAAGAUGUAUCAACUUUUUUGGUUUAUUUUCUUCAGUGUCCUUCAAUUUAUUUCAGUUUGUUAAUCAUUAUUAACUGCUCAUACAAGGACAGCAAGAUACUUCAGCCUGUCAUGCUUGUCCAAGUCUUCUGACAUUUGUGUCAUAUGGCAGGCAUCUGCUAUGUCCAUACAAGAAAAAUGUGGUUCUUUGAAUCUUCUCAUUAAUGCCUCAAGCAUCCUUUUGAUACUAAAUGUGUUCCAACCAGGUAGGAAUAUUGCAUCAUUGCUUCCAGAUUUUAAGCUGAAUAAACUUCAUUCUUUGCAAUACUUUGCAUGAUAGCAAAUCAAAAGCUAUUCUUUCAGUAAACUCCAAACACGGGCAAGAGAUUAAAGUUAAUUUCUUAGGUCCAUGGUACAGAAAUAACUUGAAUAAAGCAGAGGAAUCAUCAUGUAAUGCUUGCUUAUGAGGUCAAUGCUGCGGGUCCAAUUCUAGUAAUCAAGCAAAUGUGGCCUCUUUUGAAAGCUAGAGGAGGCUCAGGACUCACAGGGAGGUUGCUGUGGUGGCCAACUUAAGUUCGCCUGGUAGGUUGGCUCUCUUAUUGGGUUGGAGAUUCAUGAUCAUGUUAGUUAGGAUCAGCAUCUGUUCAUUUUUCAACUUGAAAAGGAAUGUUGGUUUAUUUUAUUUUUCAACUCCUGAUUCUACUUUGUAUAUAAUUGGGCAAGGUCUAUUGUGACAAGGGUCAGAUGUGAGUUUUUUUUUUUUCCCGAUGGAAUAUGCGUAAGUACUUUGUUUGGUCCCUUCAAUUCAUGAUCAUGUACCUGUGAAAAGGAAUCUGGUCUGGUGCCUGAGAAGCGUGCCCCCAGAAGUCUGUCUUUUGUGCCUGUUUUAAGGCUAAAAUUAAUAUUUAAAAUAGUAACUGUAAGUAGAAGGGUUUUUUAUUUAUUUAUUUAUUUAUUUUUUAUCC